RNAcentral lists this long non-coding RNA (227 nucleotides) under Elaeis guineensis (African oil palm). RNAcentral describes it as "long non-coding RNA (EGUI_LNC019697)". The record is from RNAcentral. Lineage: Eukaryota; Viridiplantae; Streptophyta; Magnoliopsida; Arecales; Arecaceae.
UCUCUGGGUGGUUGGAGUCUGAGAACUCCAGUUCCCAACUGGGUUCUCAUCUCCGGACUCUCUACCGAUAUAAGCCAUAAGAAAGAAAAGAAAUUCAAAGGCAAAAGCUAAAAAAAAAGAUAGGGAAGAGACGAAGGAAAAACCUCGAGGAGGUGACCGACGAUGACACCGACGACGACAGUGACGAUGGCGAUGGACAAUCGACGUCGGAGGAGAAAACUUGCCUA